This 1444-nucleotide ribosomal RNA is filed under the name Klebsiella pneumoniae. Its description in RNAcentral is "16S ribosomal RNA". It matches the Rfam family "Bacterial small subunit ribosomal RNA". Lineage: Bacteria; Pseudomonadati; Pseudomonadota; Gammaproteobacteria; Enterobacterales; Enterobacteriaceae. The record is from RNAcentral.
GGGCCUAACACAUGCAAGUCGAGCGGUAGCACAGAGAGCUUGCUCUCGGGUGACGAGCGGCGGACGGGUGAGUAAUGUCUGGGAAACUGCCUGAUGGAGGGGGAUAACUACUGGAAACGGUAGCUAAUACCGCAUAACGUCGCAAGACCAAAGUGGGGGACCUUCGGGCCUCAUGCCAUCAGAUGUGCCCAGAUGGGAUUAGCUAGUAGGUGGGGUAACGGCUCACCUAGGCGACGAUCCCUAGCUGGUCUGAGAGGAUGACCAGCCACACUGGAACUGAGACACGGUCCAGACUCCUACGGGAGGCAGCAGUGGGGAAUAUUGCACAAUGGGCGCAAGCCUGAUGCAGCCAUGCCGCGUGUGUGAAGAAGGCCUUCGGGUUGUAAAGCACUUUCAGCGGGGAGGAAGGCGUUAAGGUUAAUAACCUUGUCGAUUGACGUUACCCGCAGAAGAAGCACCGGCUAACUCCGUGCCAGCAGCCGCGGUAAUACGGAGGGUGCAAGCGUUAAUCGGAAUUACUGGGCGUAAAGCGCACGCAGGCGGUCUGUCAAGUCGGAUGUGAAAUCCCCGGGCUCAACCUGGGAACUGCAUUCGAAACUGGCAGGCUAGAGUCUUGUAGAGGGGGGUAGAAUUCCAGGUGUAGCGGUGAAAUGCGUAGAGAUCUGGAGGAAUACCGGUGGCGAAGGCGGCCCCCUGGACAAAGACUGACGCUCAGGUGCGAAAGCGUGGGGAGCAAACAGGAUUAGAUACCCUGGUAGUCCACGCCGUAAACGAUGUCGAUUUGGAGGUUGUGCCCUUGAGGCGUGGCUUCCGGAGCUAACGCGUUAAAUCGACCGCCUGGGGAGUACGGCCGCAAGGUUAAAACUCAAAUGAAUUGACGGGGGCCCGCACAAGCGGUGGAGCAUGUGGUUUAAUUCGAUGCAACGCGAAGAACCUUACCUGGUCUUGACAUCCACAGAACUUUCCAGAGAUGGAUUGGUGCCUUCGGGAACUGUGAGACAGGUGCUGCAUGGCUGUCGUCAGCUCGUGUUGUGAAAUGUUGGGUUAAGUCCCGCAACGAGCGCAACCCUUAUCCUUUGUUGCCAGCGGUCCGGCCGGGAACUCAAAGGAGACUGCCAGUGAUAAACUGGAGGAAGGUGGGGAUGACGUCAAGUCAUCAUGGCCCUUACGACCAGGGCUACACACGUGCUACAAUGGCAUAUACAAAGAGAAGCGACCUCGCGAGAGCAAGCGGACCUCAUAAAGUAUGUCGUAGUCCGGAUUGGAGUCUGCAACUCGACUCCAUGAAGUCGGAAUCGCUAGUAAUCGUAGAUCAGAAUGCUACGGUGAAUACGUUCCCGGGCCUUGUACACACCGCCCGUCACACCAUGGGAGUGGGUUGCAAAAGAAGUAGGUAGCUUAACCUUCGGGAGGGCGCUUACCACUUUGUGAUUCAUGACUGGGG